Molecule: long non-coding RNA, 226 nt
Organism: Notothenia coriiceps (black rockcod)
Lineage: Eukaryota; Metazoa; Chordata; Actinopteri; Perciformes; Nototheniidae
Exons: 3
Source: RefSeq, a predicted model, not a curated record
GGGUGGGGAGGGACAGGAGGUUGGCAGUGGCAGAGCGGAGGGAGCGAGUGGGAGUGUGUCUGUGGAGGAGGUCAGUCAGGUAGGAUGGGGCCAGGUUAUGGAGUGCUUUGUAUGUCAUCAGGAGGAUCUUGUACUGAAUUCUCUGGGGGAUGGGGAGCCAGUGGAGCUUAAUGAGGACGGGUGUAAUGUGUUCACGGAUUCGGGUGUGGAACCCAGUGCAGCAGUG